UACGUAGGGACCGAGCGUUGUCCGGAAUCAUUGGGCGUAAAGAGCGUGUAGGCGGCCACUUAAGUCCUGCGUGAAAUCUUGCGGCUCAACCGCAAGCGGUCGUGGGAAACUGGGUGGCUAGAGUGCGGGAGAGGAGAGUGGAAUUCCUGGUGUAGCGGUGGAAUGCGCAGAUAUCAGGAAGAACACCAAUGGCGAAAGCAGCUCUCUGGGACGGUACUGACGCUGAGGCGCGAAAGCGUGGGGAGCGAACAGG
RNAcentral lists this ribosomal RNA (253 nucleotides) under uncultured bacterium. RNAcentral's name for it is "partial 16S ribosomal RNA". It matches the Rfam family "Bacterial small subunit ribosomal RNA", at positions 524 to 776 of the family's 1533-position model. The record is from RNAcentral.